This 373-nucleotide ribosomal RNA is filed under the name uncultured organism. RNAcentral's name for it is "partial 16S ribosomal RNA". It matches the Rfam family "Bacterial small subunit ribosomal RNA", at positions 527 to 896 of the family's 1533-position model. The record is from RNAcentral.
GUAGGUGGCAAGCGUUGUCCGGAAUUAUUGGGCGUAAAGCGUGCGCAGGCGGUCCUUUAAGUCUGAUGUGAAAGCCCACGGCUCAACCGUGGAGGGUCAUUGGAAACUGGGGGACUUGAGUACAGAAGAGGAAAGCGGAAUUCCAAGUGUAGCGGUGAAAUGCGUAGAGAUUUGGAGGAACACCAGUGGCGAAGGCGGCUUUCUGGUCUGUAACUGACGCUGAGGCGCGAAAGCGUGGGGAGCAAACAGGAUUAGAUACCCUGGUAGUCCACGCCGUAAACGAUGAGUGCUAAGUGUUAGGGGGUUUCCCGCCCCCUUAGUGCUGCAGCUAACGCAUUAAGCACUCCGCCUGGGGAGUACGGCCGCAAGGCUG